AUUGAACGCUGGCGGCAUGCUUUACACAUGCAAGUCGAACGGCAGCGCGGGCUUCGGCCUGGCGGCGAGUGGCGAACGGGUGAGUAAUGCAUCGGAACGUGCCCAGUAGUGGGUGAUAGCCCGGCGAAAGCCGGAUUAAUACCGCAUACGACCUGCGGGUGAAAGCGGGGGACCGAAAGGCCUUGCGCUAUUGUGGCGGCGGAUGUCGGAUUGGCUAGUUGGUGGGGUAAAGGCUUACCAAGGCGACGAUCCGUAGCUGGUCUGAGAGGACGACCAGCCACACUGGGACGGAGACACGGCCCAGACUCCUACGGGAGGCAGCAGUGGGGAAUGUUGGACAAUGGGGGCAACCCUGAUCCAGCCAUGCCGCGUGCGGGAAGAAGGCCUUCGGGUUGUAAACCGCUUUUGUUCGGGAAGAAAUCCUCUGGGCUAAUACCCCGGGGGGAUGACGGUACCGGAAGAAUAAGCACCGGCUAACUACGUG
Molecule: ribosomal RNA, 484 nt
Filed under: uncultured bacterium
Lineage: Bacteria
Description: partial 16S ribosomal RNA
Rfam family: Bacterial small subunit ribosomal RNA
Source: RNAcentral